Molecule: long non-coding RNA, 590 nt
Filed under: Ananas comosus (pineapple)
Lineage: Eukaryota; Viridiplantae; Streptophyta; Magnoliopsida; Poales; Bromeliaceae
Description: long non-coding RNA (ACOM_LNC016231)
Source: RNAcentral
AAUUAUUAUCGCUUCUUUUCUUCUCUUAUUAUAAAUAGGAACGUCAAUUGGUCGGAUUUGGAGCAGAUUUUUAAAAAUCUGAACCAGACAACUAAAGUCGCAACCUCCAUUCGGAUCCGAACCUGACGAAUUUUGAAAAUCUAUUUCUGAAUCGAACCCAAUCUAAAACCCAAAACACGAACACGAAAUAAUUAUUUUUUUUAUCAUAUUUCAAAACAUAUUAUAUUAAAAUUUAAAUUUUAUAAAUCUAAAUAUAAAAUCAGAUAUCCGUAUAUAUUAUAUAAUAAAAUUAAUUCGGGUUCGGAUCGGAUUGGAUGCUGACAAAAUCUAUAUCUAGAUCCAAAUUCGUCGAGUUUCCAUUUUUAUAUUCAUACAUGAUGCCGCACUUUUCAGGACGAUCAUCCAUUCUAGAACUACUUUAGCCGAGCACGCUUAACUCCCUUAAUUUUUUAGAUCUAGCUAUCAUCCAAAAUACUAUAAUUGCGUUAUAUGACCCUAAUUCAGUCGAGACUCAUCGCACACUUUUAGUUGGUGAUUGGUUUUGAUAGCAACUAUGAUGCCUCACUUUUCAAGGGGCUUGCCCAUCUUAA